GACGAACGCUGGCGGCGUGCUUAACACAUGCAAGUCGAACGGAAAGGCCCUGCUUUUGUGGGGUGCUCGAGUGGCGAACGGGUGAGUAACACGUGAGUAACCUGCCCUUGACUUUGGGUUAACUUCAGGAAACUGGGGCUAAUACCGGAUAGGAGCUCCUGCUGCAUGGUGGGGGUUGGAAAGUUUCGGCGGUUGGGGAUGGACUCGCGGCUUAUCAGCUUGUUGGUGGGGUAGUGGCUUACCAAGGCUUUGACGGGUAGCCGGCCUGAGAGGGUGACCGGCCACAUUGGGACUGAGAUACGGCCCAGACUCCUACGGGAGGCAGCAGUGGGGAAUAUUGCACAAUGGGCGGAAGCCUGAUGCAGCAACGCCGCGUGCGGGAUGACGGCCUUUGGGUUGUAAACCGCUUUCGCCUGUGACGAAGCGUGAGUGACGGUAAUGGGUAAAGAAGCACCGGCUAACUACGUG
Molecule: ribosomal RNA, 468 nt
Filed under: uncultured bacterium
Lineage: Bacteria
Description: partial 16S ribosomal RNA
Rfam family: Bacterial small subunit ribosomal RNA
Source: RNAcentral